UCCACCUGCAAUUUAAUAAACUGCAGUUCAAAAUCCCUUUUCCACCUGCAAUUUAAUAAACUGCAGUUCAAAAUCCAUUUCCCUUUCCUGUUCGCUCCGGGAUUAGCUGCUGGAUUAGCUCCUGGAUUAGCUGCUGAAUUAGCUCUUCGAUUAACAACUUGCUGGAGGCUAUUCAAAUUAGCCACACCGUGGGAUGUAAGGAGCUCUCUGAUUGGUUGGUCAGACACAGGCUGUCUGCCAGCCUGGAUUUUUCUAGCUCAUAGCUUCUCCCUGCUAAGAAGCGUGUGUGCUUGUACAAAGGCCGUUCAGCCUCGGGAUUUACACUCGGCUCGACACGGAUAUGUGAAGAAUGAAGGGACCCUGCAGCGAAACGGAGAGCGCAACCUCUGACUGAGUGCCUGUUUACGCAGUCUGACCACCUGUUGAAGGGCUGUUUGAUGACGAUUUGGACUCCUCUGGGAGAUGAGGACACACCCACAUCUGUUCCAUACUGCAGCCAUUGAUGGUGUUACAGCUUUGAGUCAGCUUUAGGCCAUCAGAUGCACACACUGGAAAACCAGCACCUGGACUUCAUGCAGAAGAGACGGCCUCAGUGAUUUAGAAUUCAUCAGCAGCUGUGAAGAGAUGCAUUUGAAUAUCUUCUGGUUCCACUUUUCCUUCCCAGAAAGCUGAGGAUGGCUAAUUCCUGACAA
This is a long non-coding RNA of Pelmatolapia mariae (spotted tilapia), 692 nucleotides long. RefSeq lists it as uncharacterized. Lineage: Eukaryota; Metazoa; Chordata; Actinopteri; Cichliformes; Cichlidae. The record is from RefSeq and is a predicted model, not a curated record. The transcript is spliced from 3 exons.